AAAGUCGUAACAAGGUCUCCGUUGGUGAACCAGCGGAGGGAUCAUUGCCGAGUUGAAAAGCUCCAAACCACCGCGAACAUACCAUUCCGUUGCCUCGGCGGGCGGCUCCAGGGCGGAGCCUCCUUGCCCCCCAGGGGGGGGUGCCCGCCAGAGGUCACCCCAGACCCUGUCAUCAUCAGUCUUCUCGGACCAGCCGCCCCGGCGGCGAAAACAAUCAAAACUUUCAACAAUGGAUCUCUUGGCUCUG
This 247-nucleotide unclassified non-coding RNA is filed under the name Ascomycota sp. RNAcentral's name for it is "partial contains small subunit ribosomal RNA, internal transcribed spacer 1, and 5.8S ribosomal RNA". The stretch from base 1 to 47 matches the Rfam family "Eukaryotic small subunit ribosomal RNA", at positions 1785 to 1831 of the family's 1831-position model. Lineage: Eukaryota; Fungi; Ascomycota. The record is from RNAcentral.